GACGAACGCUGGCGGCGUGCUUAACACAUGCAAGUCGAACGGAAAGGCCCUGCUUUUGUGGGGUGCUCGAUUGGCGAACGGGUGAGUAACACGUGAGUAACCUGCCCUUGACUUUGGGAUAACUUCAGGAAACUGGGGCUAAUACCGGAUAGGAGCUCCUGCUGCAUGGUGGGGGUUGGAAAGUUUCGGCGGUUGGGGAUGGACUCGCGGCUUAUCAGCUUGUUGGUGGGGUAGUGGCUUACCAAGGCUUUGACGGGUAGCCGGCCUGAGAGGGUGACCGGCCACAUUGGGACUGAGAUACGGCCCAGACUCCUACGGGAGGCAGCAGUGGGGAAUAUUGCACAAUGGGCGGGAGCCUGAUGCAGCAACGCCGCGUGCGGGAUGACGGCCUUCGGGUUGUAAACCGCUUUCGACUGUGACGAAGCGUGAGUGACGGUAAUGGGUAAAGAAGCACCGGCUAACUACGUG
RNAcentral lists this ribosomal RNA (468 nucleotides) under uncultured bacterium. RNAcentral describes it as "partial 16S ribosomal RNA". It matches the Rfam family "Bacterial small subunit ribosomal RNA", at positions 28 to 507 of the family's 1533-position model. The record is from RNAcentral.